AUACACAGAACCACAAAAUAAUAAUAAUAAUACAUGAACACAAUAAACUUAAUUAAUAUUUCAUAUAUAUAUAUAUAUCAUUCCAAUUGUUCAUAACUUCAUAACCAACCAAGUAUUAAGUUAAUAAAAUAAGUAACCAACGGCCUAUGCAUCAUUCACAAUUAAAGGCCUAUGCAUCAUUCACAAAAGGAAGACCUAUCAUUCACAACUAAAGGCCUAUGCAUCAUUCACAAAAAAGACCUAUCAUUCACAACCACAACUAAAGGCCUAUGCAUCAUUCAAAAAAUCACAACUUAAGGCCUAUGCAUAAUUCAAAAAAAAGGACCUAUUAUAGUAUCAUUCACAAAAGACAUAAUCUAGACAUUCAAAAUAUCUUCCAAUCCAACAUCUUGAUAAUAGUCAUUAAGGAGAGAUGAAGGACAAAUUAACACAGAUGAAUACAAAGAGAUAGAUGAAAACAGAGAGAUGGAUGAGAUGAAAACAGCAGAUGAAGGAAAAAUUAACACAGACAGGAUAAAGGAAAAAAUGAGAUAGAUGAAAACAAAGAGAUGGAUGAGAUGAAAACAGAGAGAUGGUUUGAAACAGAGAGAUGAGAUAGAUGAAACAGAGAGAUUGAUGAGAUGAAAACAGAGAGAUGGUUUGAAACAGAGAGAUGAGAUGAAACGAAAGUGAAGGAAAGGAACGAGAUGUUAGGUUUGAAACAGAGGAAACAAAAGGAAACAAAAGGAAAGGAACGAGAUGUUAUGAAGGAAGCAAGGCUGAAUCGCGAUUGAAGAAUUGAGAAGACACAUGACGGCGUUUCUUUCUUCAGAGAAGAAACGCGUAUUUUUCUUAGGGUUUCUGAGAAAAAAGAAGCGUGUUUUGUACUCUGUGUCUUGACCCGACCCGGUUUGACUGCAAGGCCCAACCAAUUUUAAACCCAAAUCGUUUUAUUUUUACGAACCUGCUGUUGCUUUAC
Molecule: long non-coding RNA, 958 nt
Filed under: Trifolium pratense (red clover)
Lineage: Eukaryota; Viridiplantae; Streptophyta; Magnoliopsida; Fabales; Fabaceae
Description: long non-coding RNA (TPRA_LNC012773)
Source: RNAcentral